Varanus komodoensis (Komodo dragon) is the source of this 2617-nucleotide long non-coding RNA. RefSeq lists it as uncharacterized. NCBI's taxonomy places the organism in Eukaryota, Metazoa, Chordata, Lepidosauria, Squamata, Varanidae. The record is from RefSeq and is a predicted model, not a curated record. The transcript has 3 exons.
AACGGAGGAGGGAGAGAAGCCGUUCGCCUCCCUGAGUAGGCGAAGCGGCUGUGCUCGGGCCGCUCUUGCCUGCCUCCGGAAAGCGCUCCCGCAGCGCUCUCUGCCGCCGCCGAUGCGGAUCGAAGCGCGGCUCUGCUUUUGCAAGGGGGCUCCCGCCACUCUUAGGUUUAACCUAAGAUGAAGAGAGCGCUUUAUGCUUCUGAUUUUCUGCACCGGAGUAACCUUAUGUGAGAAACAGGGUAAAAGAAUUGUAUCUUUUUAAAAAAAAGGAUAAAAAGGGGCCCAAGGAGAGCUAUUUUAUAAAGGGGAACCAUUUUCUGAGAAAAGGACUGACACGUACCACUUAGAAAAAUAGGAAGACUUAGUCCGUUAGGAUAAGGUAACUUAACCACGAAAGUCCCCAACUGAAGCAGGAAAGGCAGGAAGGUUGUGAAACUAGAUGUUUUGCAAAUAUUCCAAGAAUAGGCGUCAGGAGCGGACUGUUCACUCGAUAGUAACCAGCCAAUGGUGAAGCGGGGGUAGUACUAAGCAUCGGAAAAAGGAAUGUAUAUAAACCUAUGUAUACUAUGGGGAAAUUUCUCUUUGUUCCUUGUAUAACUGGGGACUCAGCCAGCCUUUGCAAAUGCUUCAAUAAAUUUGGCUUGCAUUUACUUAGAUUCCGUUUCAGUGAGUUUUGUAUCUCACACUUAGGAGGCAGUGUCCGCGAAAGUUUUCGCCAGAAUAAAUAACAUUCUGUAGGAUGCCGCGGACUAGCAAGCCUAACACAUCAGCUCCUCUGCAAAUAAGAAGCAAGCUGGAACAAAACAAGCCAACAAAACCAAAAGAACUAGUUGCCAGGCUGGAAUGGAUGAACUGGGGCAUCCAGUAGCUGCCUCUGGAAGGGAGCUGCAUACCUGUGCAAGGAGGAUAAAACAGCCUGGAGGGCAGUGAUGUGUUCUCACAAAAGGGAUUUUCCCAUUCUUCUGUUACAGGUACUCUCUGGCCAAUGGGAGGGAUUCAAGGAGGGAAGCCAAAAAGUAAUUUGAAAGGUGACAAUUUUAGUCCCCUUCAGAGCAUGCAUCAUAUCUGUGACAGGACUAUAGGCAGAGCCUGAGGCUUGUCUCAGUGCAGACUUUGGCUAACAUGGUUUGCAGAGUCCAAGUCAUCCUUUCUACCUGGAACAUACACAAAUGUGGGCCGUCCAUCUUCAUCUACUCUUCCAAGGACCUCCCUAAGGGGAAACUGCUUAACUGGGGCUCAAGAUUUUCUAAUUGGUUUUUGAGGGGUAAGGACUGGAGGCUUUUUAUGGUACAUAGUGGGUCCCUCCCCUGAAGUUCCUGGCCUGGCAACUGCAGUCCCAGUUGUCCCUAUUCCAACGGUAUGUAAUGGGAGGGGUGUUGGAGGCCAGUCAGACGGGGUGUCUAAUAUAUGACAGGGUAUCCAGGAAAUCAUUCGGUCUCUCCCCAGGGCCUGACUUGGGAAUCACUAGGAGAAUCCAAAGUCGCACUUUCUGAGUUGGCUUCCAUCCCUUACAAAUUUGUCCUUUACAUUUUUGUAGAUGAGGAUGUUUCUCUAAUGCAAGUCCCUGUCAAUUACCUAUACAAGGUUACUGGUCCCAGUGACCAUCUUGAGUUACAAUGGUGUGAACAGCUUGUAUUAAUCCCAUAUUCCAUGACCCUUGAAUCAGCCAUCUCACACCAAAGGUUGUCCAUUUACUCCUGCACAGGGUUGUCAGAACAUCUUUUUUCCAUUCAAUCCCAUAAUCACUCCUUUUCCAUUGUUUCCAGUUCUGCAGAAUACACUCCAGGGGGCUGCCAUCUUUCGAAGACUUAGACAUUCCAUAACUACAGGAGAAUCUAUUCCUUCCCAAGUCCACUUGCAGUAGAAACACUGGCAGUCUUGGGGUUGCCCUUCGCACUGGGUUCCAGGCAUCUUGAUUGGUUACGGUCGAGCUAUAAGGCAUACAGGAUACCAGGUGUCUGGAUUCGUGUUCAAAGGGGAGCAAACAUCAGCCAUCAACAGGAGGGACCAAUACAUACUUCACCUGGUCUGCUGAACGGUCUUGUCUCAGACCACGAGGCUGUCUGGGAGGCCUCCUGGCUGGCUCACCAAAUGGUCUUGGUUUUUUCCUGGAGGGUCUCAAUUGUCAGGGGGAAAAGGAAAGCAACAUCCAGGAGAGAUCUGAAUUGUUUAUUUUGCAUGCAAGAUAGGUCAGCAGUGUAGGCUCAUGCCCAAAAGCAGAGCUGACAGUAAGCAAAGUUUUGGGCAUGGCCUUUUAUAGUCCACAGGUGAAUAAUUACUUCUCAUUGCACCUGUCAGGGAACUUUGGAUCUAGAAUGUGGCCAUCACCAGAGUUGCUGGGUCACAGAAACAACCUGAACGGUUCACCAUUUUGCAGUUACAGCAAACAUUGUAAGCAGCCAGCUUUUCUAACACUUCUGAGCUACCAUUUUUAUGAUGGCUAUAAAGGAUUGCUUAUAUGGGGGUUAAUUUUUUUCAUGUGCUAUGAGGUUCUUGUUGUGCCUGACUCCCCAGGAUCCUGAUAUAAUAGUAUCUAUCAGCUUGCUCAGGACAUCCAGAUAGGCAUGACUCCUCUAGGAUCCAGAUAGGCAUGACUCCUCUAGGCUUCAGAUAGGCA